UGUUCAUACGUUGACGGUAUUUAACCAGAAAGUCACGGCUAACUACGUGCCAGCAGCCGCGGUAAUACGUAGGUGGACAAGCGUUAUCCGGAUUUAUUGGGCGUAAAGAGAGUGCAGGCGGUUUUCUAAGUCUGAUGUGAAAGCCUUCGGCUUAACCGGAGAAGUGCAUCGGAAACUGGAUAACUUGAGUGCAGAAGAGGGUAGUGGAACUCCAUGUGUAGCGGUGGAAUGCGUAGAUAUAUGGAAGAACACCAGUGGCGAAGGCGGCUACCUGGUCUGCAACUGACGCUGAGACUCGAAAGCAUGGGUAGCGAACAGGAUUAGAUACCCUGGUAG
RNAcentral lists this ribosomal RNA (336 nucleotides) under uncultured bacterium. RNAcentral describes it as "bacterial SSU rRNA". It matches the Rfam family "Bacterial small subunit ribosomal RNA", at positions 459 to 793 of the family's 1533-position model. The record is from RNAcentral.